Molecule: transfer RNA, 73 nt
Filed under: Felis catus (domestic cat)
Lineage: Eukaryota; Metazoa; Chordata; Mammalia; Carnivora; Felidae
Rfam family: tRNA
About the family: Transfer RNA (tRNA) molecules are approximately 80 nucleotides in length. Their secondary structure includes four short double-helical elements and three loops (D, anti-codon, and T loops). Further hydrogen bonds mediate the characteristic L-shaped molecular structure. tRNAs have two regions of fundamental functional importance: the anti-codon, which is responsible for specific mRNA codon recognition, and the 3' end, to which the tRNAs corresponding amino acid is attached (by aminoacyl-tRNA synthetases). tRNAs cope with the degeneracy of the genetic code in two manners: having more than one tRNA (with a specific anti-codon) for a particular amino acid; and 'wobble' base-pairing, i.e. permitting non-standard base-pairing at the 3rd anti-codon position.
Source: Rfam by way of RNAcentral
GCCUGGCUGGCUCAGUCGGUAGAGCGUGUGACUCUGGAUUUUGGGGUAGUGAGUUCGAGCCCCAUGUUGGGUG